UGCAAAGGUGCGGUAAGAGCGCACCAGCAGCAUCGAGAGGUGCUGGCUCGGUAAACCCCGGUGGGGAGCAAGGUCGUAGGAACUAAGGUUGGUCUUUUUCCAGUUCCGCUCAAAAGAACCGCUAGAGACGUCUGGUAACAGGCGUCCCAGAUAGAUAACUGCCCUCUUAGCUGGUAACAGCUAGGAGAACAGAACCCGGCUUAUGACUGACUCUCUCC
This 218-nucleotide RNase P RNA is filed under the name Symploca sp. SIO1B1. Its description in RNAcentral is "partial RNase P RNA component class A". It matches the Rfam family "Bacterial RNase P class A", at positions 155 to 367 of the family's 367-position model. From Rfam's summary of the family: Ribonuclease P (RNase P) is a ubiquitous endoribonuclease, found in archaea, bacteria and eukarya as well as chloroplasts and mitochondria. Its best characterised activity is the generation of mature 5'-ends of tRNAs by cleaving the 5'-leader elements of precursor-tRNAs. The record is from RNAcentral. Lineage: Bacteria; Bacillati; Cyanobacteriota; Cyanophyceae; Coleofasciculales; Coleofasciculaceae.